GGUCCAUUUAUCUAGUGGUCAGGAUGUGAGAUUUUGAUCGUGUCAAGUUUCUCAAAGCGCCGGUUCGAAUCCGGCAUGGACCU
This 83-nucleotide transfer RNA is filed under the name Escovopsis weberi. It matches the Rfam family "tRNA". From Rfam's summary of the family: Transfer RNA (tRNA) molecules are approximately 80 nucleotides in length. Their secondary structure includes four short double-helical elements and three loops (D, anti-codon, and T loops). Lineage: Eukaryota; Fungi; Ascomycota; Sordariomycetes; Hypocreales; Hypocreaceae. The record is from Rfam by way of RNAcentral.